UGGGGAAUAUUGCACAAUGGGCGGAAGCCUGAUGCAGCGACGCCGCGUGGGGGAUGAAGGCCUUCGGGUUGUAAACUCCUUUCGACAGGGACGAAGCUUUUGUGACGGUACCUGUAUAAGAAGCACCGGCUAACUACGUG
Molecule: ribosomal RNA, 140 nt
Filed under: uncultured bacterium
Lineage: Bacteria
Description: partial 16S ribosomal RNA
Rfam family: Bacterial small subunit ribosomal RNA
Source: RNAcentral